GAUGAACGCUGGCGGCGUGCCUAAUACAUGCAAGUCGAGCGAACAGACGAGGAGCUUGCUCCUCUGACGUUAGCGGCGGACGGGUGAGUAACACGUGGAUAACCUACCUAUAAGACUGGGAUAACUUCGGGAAACCGGAGCUAAUACCGGAUAAUAUAUUGAACCGCAUGGUUCAAUAGUGAAAGACGGUUUUGCUGUCACUUAUAGAUUGAUCCGCGCCGCAUUAGCUAGUUUGUAAGGUAACGGCUUACCAAGGCAACGAUGCGUAGCCGACCUUAGAGGGUGAUCGGCCACACUGGAACUGAGACACGGUCCAGACUCCUACGGGAGGCAGCAGUAGGGAAUCUUCCGCAAUGGGCGAAAGCCUGACGGAGCAACGCCGCGUGAGUGAUGAAGGUCUUCGGAUCGUAAAACUCUGUUAUUAGGGAAGAACAAAUGUGUAAGUAACUAUGCACGUCUUGACGGUACCUAAUCAGAAAGCCACGGCUAACUACGUG
RNAcentral lists this ribosomal RNA (497 nucleotides) under uncultured bacterium. RNAcentral describes it as "partial 16S ribosomal RNA". It matches the Rfam family "Bacterial small subunit ribosomal RNA", at positions 28 to 507 of the family's 1533-position model. The record is from RNAcentral.